Molecule: ribosomal RNA, 491 nt
Filed under: uncultured Nocardioides sp.
Lineage: Bacteria; Bacillati; Actinomycetota; Actinomycetes; Propionibacteriales; Nocardioidaceae
Description: partial 16S ribosomal RNA
Source: RNAcentral
CACGUAGUUGGCCGGUGCUUCUUCUGUACCUACCGUCACCACCCAUACAGGCGCUUCGUCGAUACUGAAAGAGGUUUACAACCCGAAGGCCGUCAUCCCUCACGCGGCGUUGCUGGAUCAGGCUUCCGCCCAUUGUCCAAUAUUCCCCACUGCUGCCUCCCGUAGGAGUCUGGGCCGUGUCUCAGUCCCAGUGUGGCCGGUCACCCUCUCAGGCCGGCUACCCGUCGAAGCCUUGGUAGGCCAUUACCCCACCAACAAGCUGAUAGGCCGCGAGCACAUCCCCCACCCACAAAAGUUUCCACCAGCACCCCAUGCAGGGACUGGUCGUAUCCGGUAUUAGACACCCUUUCGAGUGCUUAUCCCAGAGUGAAGGGCAGAUUACUCACGUGUUACUCACCCGUUCGCCGCUCGUGUACACCUAAGUGCCUUACCGCUCGACUUGCAUGUGUUAAGCACGCCGCCAGCGUUCGUCCUGAGCCAGGAUCAACUCU